RNAcentral lists this non-coding RNA (194 nucleotides) under Oxalobacteraceae bacterium IMCC9480. RNAcentral's name for it is "Bacterial large subunit ribosomal RNA". It matches the Rfam family "Bacterial large subunit ribosomal RNA", at positions 2736 to 2925 of the family's 2925-position model. Lineage: Bacteria; Pseudomonadati; Pseudomonadota; Betaproteobacteria; Burkholderiales; Oxalobacteraceae. The record is from Rfam by way of RNAcentral.
CAUUGCCGGGUAGCUAAGUUCGAAAGAGAUAACCGCUGAAAGCAUCUAAGCGGGAAACUUGCCUUGAGAUGAGAUUUCCCAGGAACUUGAUUCCUUUGAAGGGUCGUUCGAGACCAGGACGUUGAUAGGCUGGGUGUGGAAGUGCAGUAAUGCAUUAAGCUAACCAGUACUAAUUGCCCGUAAGGCUUGUCCCU